GCAGAAGUGGAUCCUCCUGCACAACCAACAAGAAUGCAGCAAGUGGUUUCUGGAUGCUGCUGCUGUUCUUUCUCACUGCUCUGAGCUUUGUUUCAUUUGACAGUGAAAACUGUGUUCCCCUCCUCAUCUGUGUUCGCCUCCUCAUGAAAUGGAAAUAAAAACGGAGGAGCAUCAGAUCUUA
Molecule: long non-coding RNA, 181 nt
Organism: Poecilia latipinna (sailfin molly)
Lineage: Eukaryota; Metazoa; Chordata; Actinopteri; Cyprinodontiformes; Poeciliidae
Exons: 2
Source: RefSeq, a predicted model, not a curated record